This is a long non-coding RNA of Hypanus sabinus (Atlantic stingray), 549 nucleotides long. RefSeq lists it as uncharacterized. The record is from RefSeq and is a predicted model, not a curated record. NCBI's taxonomy places the organism in Eukaryota, Metazoa, Chordata, Chondrichthyes, Myliobatiformes, Dasyatidae. The transcript has 3 exons.
GAACUAUUGAUCCAAUGAUGAACAGAGGAACUUACUAUAUCCUCUUAUGUCAAUUACCUAAACCAGCUGGCCAAUUAUACAAAAGUCAUCCAACUGGAACAGAAUGCUGCCUCAUGACAACAGAUCAGAGGGAGUCAAAAAUACUGCAGAUGCUGGAAGUCCAAAAUAAAAUAGAAAAUGCUGGAAGUGCACAGUGGAUCAGGUUACAUCUGUGGACAUAUUCUGGAGUUUGGGUAUAAAACAAAUGGUAAAUUCAGCAGCAGUCAUUCUUCAAACAUGAACAUGGAUUGUAGAUUAAAUUUAAAAUGCAGCCCUGAUCAAUAGUUUCCUUGGAGCUGUGGACACCAGAUGAUUGAAAACCAAACAGUGCUGAUUAACAUUGAUUUUGGGUGGCUGGAGUGUGGGUGCAAACAAGUGGGUGUAUGAAAAAUAUAUGUAAUUCAGAGGACGCAUUGUAACUAUAGAAUUGUCCUGCUGUUACCAUUGGUCUUCAGCAUAUAAAAUGUCAUUUAAUAUUGAGUUGAACAGACCUCUUCCUUUAAUGGUGUC